GAGAAUCGGAUUGAUGUGUUUUAAUAGGCGUUGGAAAGUUAAGAGGAUAAGCUAAAAGUUUUUUUUUCUGUUUUGGUUGUUUCAAAAAAUUCCCAAAAUUCUUAAUUAACUUUAUUAGAUUAAUUUCGUGUUUUUUUUAUUUUUUUUCUUUUAUUUUAAUCGUUUUUUCCAUAUUUCAAUUGUUUUUGCUUAAUAGGAACAUUGUCGAUAUUUUCCUAUUUGUUACUGCAUUGCUGAAUUAGUUAUGUGUUUUCUCAUUUUUUG
RNAcentral lists this long non-coding RNA (264 nucleotides) under Lathyrus oleraceus (garden pea). RNAcentral's name for it is "Pisum sativum (pea) long non-coding RNA (PSAT_LNC034102)". Lineage: Eukaryota; Viridiplantae; Streptophyta; Magnoliopsida; Fabales; Fabaceae. The record is from RNAcentral.